Molecule: ribosomal RNA, 406 nt
Filed under: uncultured bacterium
Lineage: Bacteria
Description: partial 16S ribosomal RNA
Rfam family: Bacterial small subunit ribosomal RNA
Source: RNAcentral
GAUGAACGCUAGCUUCAGGCUUAACACAUGCAAGUCGAUGGACUGGCGCUCGGGUGAGUAACCCGUAUCCAACCUGCCCUUUACUCGGGGCUAGCCUUUCGAAAGUAGGAUUAAUACCCUAUAUUAAGGAUGGGGAUGCGUUCUCUUAGGUUUUUGGUGAGGUAACGGCGAACCAAGCCUUCGAUGGAUAGGGGUGCUGAGAGGAAGGUCCCCAACAUUGGAACUGAGGCACGGUCCAAACUCCUGCGGGAGGCAGCAGGGAGGAAGAUGGGUCAAAGGGCGCUAGCCUGAACCAUCCAAGUAGCGUGAAGGAUGAAGGCUUAUGGGGCGUAAACUUCUUAUAUAAAAGAAUAGGUAGUAAAUGAAUAAGGAUCGGCUAACUCCGUGCCAGCCGCCGCGGUAAUUC